This 500-nucleotide ribosomal RNA is filed under the name uncultured bacterium. RNAcentral's name for it is "bacterial SSU rRNA". It matches the Rfam family "Bacterial small subunit ribosomal RNA", at positions 900 to 1400 of the family's 1533-position model. The record is from RNAcentral.
CUCAAAGGAAUUGACGGGGACCCGCACAAGCGGUGGAUGAUGUGGUUUAAUUCGAUGCAACGCGAAAAACCUUACCCACCUUUGACAUGUACGGAAUUUGCCAGAGAUGGCUUAGUGCUCGAAAGAGAACCGUAACACAGGUGCUGCAUGGCUGUCGUCAGCUCGUGUCGUGAGAUGUUGGGUUAAGUCCCGCAACGAGCGCAACCCUUGUCAUUAGUUGCUACAUUCAGUUGGGCACUCUAAUGAGACUGCCGGUGACAAACCGGAGGAAGGUGGGGAUGACGUCAAGUCCUCAUGGCCCUUAUAGGUGGGGCUACACACGUCAUACGAUGGCCGGUACAAAGGGCUGCCAACCCGCGAGGGGGAGCUAAUCCCAUAAAACCGGUCGUAGUCCGGAUCGCAGUCUGCAACUCGACUGCGUGAAGUCGGAAUCGCUAGUAAUCGUGGAUCAGAAUGUCACGGUGAAUACGUUCCCGGGUCUUGUACACACCGCCCGUCAC